AAUAGAUACCCAGGUAGUCCACGCCGUAAACGUUGGAUACUAGGUGUGGCGGUCUUACCAACGACUACCGUGCCGAAGCUAACGCAUUAAGUAUCCCGCCUGGGGAGUACGGCCGCAAGGCUAAAACUCAAAGGAAUUGACGGGUCCCCGCACAAGCGGCGGAGCAUGCGGCUUAAUUCGAUGCAACCCGAAGAACCUUACCUGGGUUUGACAUCACGGGAAAAGCUGUAGAAAUACAGUGUCCAUUAGGGCCCGUGACAGGUGGUGCAUGGCUGUCGUCAGCUCGUGUCGUGAGAUGUUGGGUUAAGUCCCGCAACGAGCGCAACCCUUGUCCUAUGUUGCCAGCGGUUCGGCCGGGGACUCAUAGGAGACUGCCGGGGAUAACUCGGAGGAAGGUGAGGACGACGUCAAGUCAUCAUGCCCCUUAUAUCCAGGGCUGCACGCAUGCUACAAUGGCCGGUACAACGGGCAGCGAUCCCGCGAGGGUGAGCGAAUCCUAAAAAGCCGGUCCUAGUUCGGAUUGAAGUCUGCAACUCGACUUC
RNAcentral lists this ribosomal RNA (542 nucleotides) under uncultured bacterium. RNAcentral's name for it is "bacterial SSU rRNA". It matches the Rfam family "Bacterial small subunit ribosomal RNA", at positions 777 to 1319 of the family's 1533-position model. The record is from RNAcentral.